This 75-nucleotide transfer RNA is filed under the name Clostridiales bacterium. RNAcentral describes it as "tRNA-Gln". It matches the Rfam family "tRNA". Rfam says of the family: Transfer RNA (tRNA) molecules are approximately 80 nucleotides in length. Their secondary structure includes four short double-helical elements and three loops (D, anti-codon, and T loops). Further hydrogen bonds mediate the characteristic L-shaped molecular structure. tRNAs have two regions of fundamental functional importance: the anti-codon, which is responsible for specific mRNA codon recognition, and the 3' end, to which the tRNAs corresponding amino acid is attached (by aminoacyl-tRNA synthetases). tRNAs cope with the degeneracy of the genetic code in two manners: having more than one tRNA (with a specific anti-codon) for a particular amino acid; and 'wobble' base-pairing, i.e. permitting non-standard base-pairing at the 3rd anti-codon position. Lineage: Bacteria; Bacillati; Bacillota; Clostridia; Eubacteriales. The record is from RNAcentral.
AGGGGUGUCGCCAAGCGGUAAGGCAAUAGACUUUGACUCUAUCACUCAAAGGUUCAAAUCCUUUCACCCCUGCCA